This 94-nucleotide transfer RNA is filed under the name Planctomycetota bacterium. RNAcentral describes it as "Planctomycetes bacterium (salt lake metagenome) tRNA-Ser". It matches the Rfam family "tRNA". From Rfam's summary of the family: Transfer RNA (tRNA) molecules are approximately 80 nucleotides in length. Their secondary structure includes four short double-helical elements and three loops (D, anti-codon, and T loops). Lineage: Bacteria; Pseudomonadati; Planctomycetota. The record is from RNAcentral. RNAcentral also lists the same sequence under 1 other name.
GGAGAGGUGGCUGAGUGGCUGAAAGCGACGGUUUGCUAAAUCGUUGAGGGGUCUCACGGCUCCUCCGAGGGUUCGAAUCCCUCCCUCUCCGCCA